RNAcentral lists this RNase P RNA (363 nucleotides) under Acidobacteriota bacterium. RNAcentral describes it as "partial RNase P RNA component class A". It matches the Rfam family "Bacterial RNase P class A", at positions 46 to 367 of the family's 367-position model. Rfam says of the family: Ribonuclease P (RNase P) is a ubiquitous endoribonuclease, found in archaea, bacteria and eukarya as well as chloroplasts and mitochondria. Its best characterised activity is the generation of mature 5'-ends of tRNAs by cleaving the 5'-leader elements of precursor-tRNAs. The record is from RNAcentral. Lineage: Bacteria; Pseudomonadati; Acidobacteriota.
GAAAGUCCGGUCUCCACAGGGCAGCGUGCCGGCUAACGGCCGGGGGGGACCUCUCAAAGGGGUCUUUACGGAAAGUGCCACAGAAAAUGUACCGCCGGUCGUUCUUCACAGAGCCUCCGGUAAGGGUGAAAAGGUGCGGUAAGAGCGCACCGCGGAUGGAGUAAUCCGUCUGGCAGGGUAAACCCCACGCGGAGCAAGACCAAAUAGGGGAGGAGGAGCGGCCCGCUCCGUUACAACUUCCGGGUAGGUCGCUACGGUUUGCGCGCACGCGUGCAAACGACGAGCCUCGCAGUAAUGCGCGGCCUGGAUGAAUGGCUAUCGCCCGCAAGGGUACAGAAACCGGCUUACAGCCGCGCGCCUGUU